Molecule: ribosomal RNA, 447 nt
Filed under: uncultured bacterium
Lineage: Bacteria
Description: SSU rRNA
Rfam family: Bacterial small subunit ribosomal RNA
Source: RNAcentral
AGAGCGAACGCUGGCGGCAGGCCUAACACAUGCAAGUCGAGCGCCCGUAGCAAUACGGGAGCGGCAGACGGGAUAGUAACACGUGGGAACGCGCCCUUCGGUUCGGAAUAACUCAGGGAAACUUGAGCUAAUACCGAAUACGCCUUACGGGGAAAGAUUUAUUGCCGAAGGAACGGCCCGCGUCCGAUUAGCUAGUUGGUGAGGUAAUGGCUCACCAAGGCUACGAUCGGUAGCUGGUCUGAGAGGAUGACCAGCAUCACUGGGACUGAGACACGGCCCAGACUCCUACGGGAGGCAGCAGUGGGGAAUAUUGGACAAUGGGCGCAAGCCUGAUCCAGCCAUGCCGCGUGGAUGAUGAAGGCCUUAGGGUUGUAAAGUCCUUUUAACGGGGAAGAUAAUGACGGUACCCGUAGAAUAAGCCCCGGCUAACUUCGUGCCAGCAGCCGC